Molecule: ribosomal RNA, 579 nt
Filed under: uncultured bacterium
Lineage: Bacteria
Description: partial 16S ribosomal RNA
Rfam family: Bacterial small subunit ribosomal RNA
Source: RNAcentral
UGAGGAAUAUUGGUCAAUGGGCGAGAGCCUGAACCAGCCAAAUCGCGUGAAGGAAGACUGCCUUAUGGGUUGUAAACUUCUUUUAUACAGGAAUAAAAAAGGGGACGUGUCCCUUAUUGCAUGUACUGUAUGAAUAAGCAUCGGCUAACUCCGUGCCAGCAGCCGCGGUAAUACGGAGGAUGCGAGCGUUAUCCGGAUUUAUUGGGUUUAAAGGGUGCGCAGGCGGGCUUUUAAGUCAGCGGUGAAAUCUCGGGGCUUAACUCCGAAACUGCCGUUGAAACUGGGAGUCUUGAGUAUGGAUGAAGUAGGCGGAAUUCGUUGUGUAGCGGUGACAUGCUUAGAUAUAACGAGGAACUCCGAUUGCGUAGGCAGCUUACUAAGCCAUAACUGACGCUCAAGCACGAAGCGUGGGGAUCAAACAGGAUUAGAUACCCCUGGUAGUCCACGCCGUAAACGAUGAUUACUAGUUGUAUGCGAUAUACUGUAUGUGACUAAGCGAAAGCGAUAAGUAAUCCACCUGGGGAGUACGCCGGCAACGGUGAAACUCAAAGGAAUUGACGGGGUCAUAGCUGUUUCCUG